UUUAUUGACAUCAUUGAGGAAUUCUUUUCUUUUAGCCCUUCAUAGAUGAUAAAAACAUAACUUUAUAACAUAAAAUUAAAUCAUAUACUCCUAUAAUGGAGCUUACAUCCCAAUUUAUGGAAAAGAUUAAAACUUUACAAAAAAAAAAUUGAAAACCUAUGCUCCUUUAAUGGAGCUUACAACAUAAUCUAUGAAGAAUAAAGAAAACAAUUAUCUCAUUGAAUCAUCACAUGCAAUAAUAAAAAAGAAACUUACAUGCAUCCUUCAGUCAUUGAAU
RNAcentral lists this long non-coding RNA (277 nucleotides) under Vitis vinifera (wine grape). RNAcentral describes it as "long non-coding RNA (VVIN_LNC006637)". Lineage: Eukaryota; Viridiplantae; Streptophyta; Magnoliopsida; Vitales; Vitaceae. The record is from RNAcentral.